CCCUUGUCCGCUUAGCUGCGCUGUCUCCCCAGGGUCUAAUACCUCUCCCUAUACAACCAAGCAUUCUGCUAGCAUUUCCUGCUGCUCUAUUACAUUGUCUGCCUACCUUUAGGUCAUCAGAAAUAAUCACCCCUAAAUCCCUUUCCUCAUAUGUUGAGGUUAGGACUCUUAUCAAAUAUUCUGUACUCUGCCCUUGGGUUUUUACGUCCAAGAUGCAUUAUCUUGCACUUAUCCACAUUAAAUGUCAGUUGCCACAAUUCUGACCAUUUUUCUAGUUUACCUAAAUCAUUUGUCAUUUGGCUUAUCCCUCCUGGAACAUCAACCCUGUUACAUAUCUUAGUAUCAUCAGCAAAAAGACAUACCUUACCAUCAAGACCUUCUGCAAUAUCACUAAUAAAAAUAUUAAAGAGAAUGGGUCCAAGUAGAGAUCCCUGAGGUACCCCACUGGUGACAAGUCCAAGCUUCGAAUAUAUUCCAUUAACUACAACCCUCUGUUGCCUGUCACUCAG
Molecule: non-coding RNA, 509 nt
Organism: Pelobates cultripes (western spadefoot toad)
Lineage: Eukaryota; Metazoa; Chordata; Amphibia; Anura; Pelobatidae
Source: the annotation of a GenBank genome assembly